Long non-coding RNA from Hemicordylus capensis (graceful crag lizard), 1098 nucleotides. RefSeq lists it as uncharacterized. The record is from RefSeq and is a predicted model, not a curated record. NCBI's taxonomy places the organism in Eukaryota, Metazoa, Chordata, Lepidosauria, Squamata, Cordylidae. The transcript is spliced from 5 exons.
CACAGAGGUCCAUUGGGUAUACAUGGCAGCCUCAAAAAUUGCCACAGCCAUGGAGGGUGGGCCCAGAAUGGGCCAAAGACUGCCCAAACGUGGCAAUUUGGACAGUAACAUAGGCUGGGGGGGAGGGGGAACCUCUGGAGACCCCCACCCUGCAGCAUCGGAGAAGCCCCCCUGGAGUGGUGUUUGUGAUGGCAGUCAUAACUUGAUCCCAGACCCUAGCGCCAUUCAGACAUUACAAGUACAAGCUUUGCUUAUGAUUACAAGUGCCAAAUCAGCAAACAGCUGAAACAAAUAACUGCAGAUAUUCAAAAUACACCAACUUCUGCAAUUUCACUAUUUAGUUUCAAAUAAGAAAUUCCUAGCCUGAUUUAGCAGGUGUAACUGAGUAAAGUUAGUUAGCUAACUGCUAACUUCUCACUGCUGCCGCCGCCGCCAUCACAUGAAGGAAGCAAGCUGUACCUGCUGGGCCACCUAUCCAUGCUCCUGCAUCAUGUGGCUCUGCAACCUGCCACUGAAGCAAACCAUUCCCUCUGGCUUCCCCAUUGGAUGGAUGGUCAAUAGGAUGCCAGCAGGGAAAGGAGACAAAGAGGCCAAAUUGCUACUAAUUCUGGAGGAAUACUAUGACCAUUGAUGCAGAUUACAGUUCCUAAAAUAAUCUACGCUGAUCCCAGGACUGCAGGGGAGGAAUUAAAAAAGAAACCAUGCUGGACGUUUUAAAAAUGAAGUCACAGAAGUCCCGAUGCUUCUUGCCAGGAGUACAACCUGCCUUGUUUCCUGCACACUUCAUAAAUGCAUGCUCAGAAGAAGGGAGAAGGGAAGGAAGAAGAAGGAGAAGAGAAGGAAGGAAGAGCCAAAUCAGGACUGAAUCAAAUGAGGCCAAAUUUGGCCUGUUUCAGUUCUAUUUGUCUCUAACUAGCUGGCACUUUGGUUCAGGCCAAAUCCCGACGAAGCAGGCUGAAGCAGCAUGCUGAGAUUCAGACCUGAGUCAGCCAUCAAAACUUCACACAGUCCUAAUAAAUAUCCUUUGUUCUCAGCACCUGAGGCUCUGCUUCCCCACUCUACACUCGUAUUUGACUUGGUGCUGUCUCUUCCCCCACU